This 253-nucleotide ribosomal RNA is filed under the name uncultured bacterium. RNAcentral describes it as "partial 16S ribosomal RNA". It matches the Rfam family "Bacterial small subunit ribosomal RNA", at positions 524 to 776 of the family's 1533-position model. The record is from RNAcentral.
UACAGAGGGCUCAAGCGUUGUUCGGAUUCAUUGGGCGUAAAGGGUGUGUAGGCGGCGCGCUAAGUCGGGUGUGAAAUUUCGGAGCUUAACUCCGAAACUGCAUUCGAUACUGGCGUGCUUGAGGACUGGAGAGGAGACUGGAAUUCAUGGUGUAGCAGUGAAAUGCGUAGAGAUCAUGAGGAAGACCAGUGGCGAAGGCGGGUCUCUGGACAGUUCCUGACACUGAGACACGAAGGCCAGGGGAGCAAACGGG